Molecule: ribosomal RNA, 301 nt
Filed under: uncultured bacterium
Lineage: Bacteria
Description: partial 16S ribosomal RNA
Rfam family: Bacterial small subunit ribosomal RNA
Source: RNAcentral
CAGCAGCCGCGGUAAUACGGAGGGUGCAAGCGUUAAUCGGAAUUACUGGGCGUAAAGCGCACGCAGGCGGUCUGACAAGUCAGAUGUGAAAUCCCCGGGCUCAACCUGGGAACUGCAUUUGUGACUGUAUAGCUAGAGUACGGCAGAGGGGGAUGGAAUUCCGCGUGUAGCAGUGAAAUGCGUAGAGAUCUGGAGGAAUACCGGUGGCGAAGGCGGCCCCCUGGACAAAGACUGACGCUCAGGUGCGAAAGCGUGGGGAGCAAACAGGAUUAGAUACCCGCGUAGUCCCUGUCUCUUAUAC